Molecule: transfer RNA, 109 nt
Rfam family: tRNA
About the family: Transfer RNA (tRNA) molecules are approximately 80 nucleotides in length.
Source: Rfam
GCUCCCAUAGCUCAGUUGGUCUAGAGCAUCAAGCUUAUAUGACCAUUGUACUUUGUACUAGGUUGUAUGCGUCUCUUGGAGGUCGACGGUUCGAUCCCGCCUGGGAGCA